This is a long non-coding RNA of Bubalus bubalis (water buffalo), 518 nucleotides long. RefSeq lists it as uncharacterized. NCBI's taxonomy places the organism in Eukaryota, Metazoa, Chordata, Mammalia, Artiodactyla, Bovidae. The transcript is spliced from 3 exons. The record is from RefSeq and is a predicted model, not a curated record.
CAACCUUCUCACACUGAUGUUUCCGGGGAGCGUUUGCAGCUUUAUUUGAAUAACUGUGACCAGUGCCUUAAAAACGGCACUCAGGUGCUUUGGACAUUAUCUUCAAUCCAAGAUGUGGUGGACCAUUUACUUUGCUGUGUUUCCAGUGCUUUGCCAUGAUGAACACCAGUCCAGUGCCCAUGUGGAUUAGAAAGAUAGACAGCUCCCAGUCUGAUGUAUCCUGGUUCAUGCCAGAAGUCCGGGGUUCCACAUGGCACCUAAUGCUCACUGGAAAGGUAACAUCCCAGCCAGCCAUCUAUGUGUAGGAUCCAAUAUGUCCUACCUACAAUGAUUUGGAUUCUCUUUCAAUCUUCCAAACCCUUCAGAAAGGAGCAGCAAGAAAAUAGUGGAUGGAUGUUUUAUGCUCUAUACAUUGAUUUACAGUGAUUUCCAGAAUGAAACCUGCCUGUCUCACCCAAUUUAAAUGUACUAGACUUUGCUACUGAGUAAAUGAUGCUUCUUUUAAUUUAAACCCAAAC